CCUACGGGAGGCAGCAGUGAGGAAUAUUGGUCAAUGGGCGCGAGCCUGAACCAGCCAAGUAGCGUGAAGGAUGACUGCCCUACGGGUUGUAAACUUCUUUUAUAAAGGAAUAAAGUGAGGCACGUGAGCCUUUUUGUAUGUACUUUACGAAUAAGGAUCGGCUAACUCCGUGCCAGCAGCCGCGGUAAUACGGAGGAUCCGAGCGUUAUCCGGAUUUAGUGGGUUUAAAGGGAGCGUAGAUGGGUUGUUAAGUCAGUUGUGAAAGUUGGCGGUUCAACCGUAAAAUUGCAAUUGAUACUGGCAGUCUUGCGUACAGUAGAGGUAGGCGGAAUUCGUGGUGUAGCGGUGAAAUGCUUAGAUAUCACGAAGAACUCCGAUUGCGAAGGCAGCUUACUAAACUGCCACUGACAUUGAUGCUCGAAAGUGUGGGUAUCAAACAGGAUUAGAUACCCCAGUAGUC
This 460-nucleotide ribosomal RNA is filed under the name uncultured bacterium. Its description in RNAcentral is "partial 16S ribosomal RNA". It matches the Rfam family "Bacterial small subunit ribosomal RNA", at positions 338 to 795 of the family's 1533-position model. The record is from RNAcentral.